Molecule: ribosomal RNA, 429 nt
Filed under: Actinomycetes bacterium
Lineage: Bacteria; Bacillati; Actinomycetota; Actinomycetes
Description: Actinobacteria bacterium partial 16S ribosomal RNA
Rfam family: Bacterial small subunit ribosomal RNA
Source: RNAcentral
UAGGGAAUCUUCCGCAAUGGGCGAAAGCCUGACGGAGCAACGCCGCGUGAGUGAUGAAGGUCUUCGGAUCGUAAAACUCUGUUAUUAGGGAAGAACAAAUGUGUAAGUAACUAUGCACGUCUUGACGGUACCUAACCAGAAAGCCACGGCUAACUACGUGCCAGCAGCCGCGGUAAUACGUAGGUGGCAAGCGUUAUCCGGAAUUAUUGGGCGUAAAGCGCGCGUAGGCGGUUUUUUAAGUCUGAUGUGAAAGCCCACGGCUCAACCGUGGAGGGUCAUUGGAAACUGGAAAGCUUGAGUGCAGAAGAGGAAAGUGGAAUUCCAUGUGUAGCGGUGAAAUGCGCAGAGAUAUGGAGGAACACCAGUGGCGAAGGCGACUUUCUGGUCUGUAACUGACGCUGAUGUGCGAAAGCGUGGGGAUCAAACAGG